CAUCCAGAGAACUUAGCAGAGAUGCUUUGGUGCCUUCGGGAACUCUGAGACAGGUGCUGCAUGGCUGUCGUCAGCUCGUGUUGUGAAAUGUUGGGUUAAGUCCCGCAACGAGCGCAACCCUUUAUCCCUUUGUUGCCAGCGGCUCGGCCGGGAACUCAAAGGAGACUGCCGGUGAUAAACCGGAGGAAGGUGGGGAUGACGUCAAGUCAUCAUGGCCCUUACGGCCAGGGCUACACACGUGCUACAAUGGCGCAUACAAAGAGAAGCGACCUCGCGAGAGCAAGCGGACCUCAUAAAGUGCGUCGUAGUCCGGAUUGGAGUCUGCAACUCGACUCCAUGAAGUCGGAAUCGCUAGUAAUCGUAGAUCAGAAUGCUACGGUGAAUACGUUCCCGGGCCUUGUACACACCGCCCGUCACACCAUGGGAGUGGGUUGCAAAAGAAGUAGGUAGCUUAACCUUCGGGAGGGCGCUUACCACUUUGUGAUUCAUGACUGGGGUGAAGUCGUAACAAGGUAAGCGUACGUGU
This 526-nucleotide ribosomal RNA is filed under the name uncultured bacterium. RNAcentral describes it as "bacterial SSU rRNA". It matches the Rfam family "Bacterial small subunit ribosomal RNA", at positions 985 to 1509 of the family's 1533-position model. The record is from RNAcentral.